Molecule: unclassified non-coding RNA, 3466 nt
Filed under: Cimex lectularius (bed bug)
Lineage: Eukaryota; Metazoa; Arthropoda; Insecta; Hemiptera; Cimicidae
Description: protein FAM193A-like, transcript variant X6
Source: RNAcentral
UCGAAUCUAAAUACACCACAAAUCGUGAGACGAACCUACCAACAACCGUCUGGGACUAACCAACCCUUUCCCAUUCGCGUUCCCAACAGUGUUCAAAUUUAUAAAAAACUUAAGGAUUUGUAAAAUUGCCGGUUUUAUAUUUUUAUUGUGUCAAUUUGUGAAGAAAUAAUCUUCCAUAUAUGAUCCAGUCGUAAUAAUUAUGUCCUAUCACAAAAGUGAUUGCCUGAAUGUUUCAACCGAAUCUGACGAUAGUUCCGAGGAUGCCGAAGGUGCUAUUGCUGCAAUUCUGAAAAAACUUUCCGGAGACGAUUACAAUAUUUUGGACAGAAAUCCUUUUGAAAUGAGUGACACGUGCACUUGUGACUUCUGCAAGGAGUUAAGGUUACUAACAGCAGGAGAACGUGAAGAACUCAAAAUGAUGCAAACCUAUUGGACAGAGUUGAGGAAUUACAUUAGAAUCGUUUAUAGAAUUUCUAUAAAGGGCACUUUGAUGUCGAUUGAUGAGGAAUACACCAAUUCGAUCAAACUUGUCGCUUCGAGGCUUUGCGAUGUCUGCAAUCCGCUUCAAAUAUACGAAUGUCUGGAAAAUCAAGUUGGCGAAUUUGUUGUGGAAAUAAAAGUUAGGCUUCUUCAAUUAAUGGACCGUCUUGCAGGAAAUCCGCAACUUCCAAAAUUGUUUAUAUCAGGAAUGCUAGAUAGCUAUAACAAGAUGAUGAAUGCUGCCAAUAAGCUGACUCCGGUAUUAAGCCGAAUGGAAACGGAACAUUUAAGCAAAUUCAAAUUAACUUGGAAAAUUUUAAAUCAAAGGCUUUUUCAAACUAGUAUAUACACGGAUAUUUUUUUCCAAAAUAGUGUACCUCUUUUUAUUACACAGUUAGGAAAAAAAAACAACUCUGAAGAGAACAAAGUUCUCGUCAGGGAGUUUUUAAGUUUUGAUGACGAAAUAACCUUAGUUGAAGGAAUGUGGAGCGACGUUGAAGAACACUUAAAAUCUUUCAAGAAAGAUUCUUCCACUAAUUCUACCUUCCGAAAAUACCUUACACAAGACUGGGAGGAAUUCAAGGCAUUGAGGAGAAAUCAUUAUAAAUUGUGCAAUAAACAUUUAGCCAACCAGGAUUCGGAUGACAAUUCAUCCCUCAAUGAUUUUGACCUAACAAACUGGUGUGAGGAAGACGAAAAUGAUUUAAAUGAAACAUGCGAAUGCCAUGUAUGUCCCAAUGUUCCUACUAAUAAUGUCACCCUUAUUGACGAUGUACUGCCAUUAAAUCGAACAGGGUUUCAUUUAUGUCCCCAUAUUCACAUCCAUGAAAAAAACCAUACCAAAAUUGAAGGCGCCAAUGUUCCAAAAGACAGUAAACAGGUACUGAAAAUGAAGAUGAAGUCUUGGAAGGAAUCGUACAGCAGUAAAGCAGCUCGAAGUAGAAAAGGUGAAGGAGCAACACCCAUUGUAAAAGGCCAACACGACAAAUGUAUAGAAAAAGAGAAAAAAGAAGCAUCAACUGACACCACUGAAGUCCAGCAUAAUUUUUGUCCAAUACAUAAUGAUGUAAUGGAAUGGAUACCUUGUGGUGAAAAUGAUAUCUGUACUUGUGAUGGCACCGAAGAAUUCAAUUCUGAUACGUCAGAUACUGAUUCAAGGCACUGUGACUGUUAUUACUGUGAGGUAUUCGGUCAUGGGCUGCCUGCAACAGCACCAAUGAGUCGAAACUAUAAAGAGAUGAGAGAGAGAUUAAGACUUCUGUUGAAUAAAAAAAAAUCGAAGUGUAGAAGUACAACUGUUCCAACGCUCGCAAAUAACACAAUGCCUCAAGCACAACCCAAGAGACAUCAGAAUGGAGGUCCACCAAGUCAAGAGAAACCACAAAAACUGCAGAAAUCAGACAAAAGUACAGCCACACCAAUAAAAGCACCACCGCCUCCUGUUGUUGAACAUGAUCCACGAGAUUUGGAAGAUCUUCUGGAUUUUAUAGAAGGGACAGAAGUAAAAUGUCGGAAUGAAAAAAAGGCAGCUAAAAAAGCUAGGCAAAAAGAAAAAAAGAAGAUUUUAAUGAUAAGAAAGAAAAAGGAAGAAGAAGAAAAGGCUCGAUUGAUCCAAGAAGCGAUUGAGAAAAAACAAAGAGAGGAAGAAAUGCUGAGGCUUGCAAAAGUAAAAGAACAAGAAAACGCCUCCAAGUCGAAGAAAAAAUCGAAGAAUCGAUCUCAAAUGUCACAAAAGGAAGACAAUGUUCAGCACAACAAACCUAGCGAAAAUCCCGGUACUCAAAUGGUCACUAUCAAGAGGAUAAUGGAACCGCACAGUUCUGAACCAACUGUUACAAUAACAUUAAGAGGUGCAACACCGAAGCAAGACAAAGUUUUAUACACGUUAUUAAAUGGCCAAGUGUGCAAAGUCAAAGAUGUUCCUGUGGAAAGUCAACACUCAAACUCCAAGCAUGUUAGUACAAAAAAAUUUAACAACUCUAGUGAGCUGACAGCUACAAAAUCAAAUAAAAAGGUGAAACAGAAAAAGGAGCAGCAGCAGAAGGUAGAGCCAACACCAUCAGCACCAGCCAAACAAAAGCCAGUGAAACAGCUUACAAACCCUACGUCAAUUCAAAUAAAUAAUGCUAUUAACACUAUGUCAAAACAUCCGACAACACAUUUUAACAUAAACGAUUUAAAACUCCCCCCUGGAAUCACUAUAACUAAAGUUGAUUCUUCAGAAUCACCUUUUAACAAAAAAGUUAAGGAAAGUACAAAUACAAAAGUGAGCAGCACGCCAAUGAAAUCAGCUGCUUCUUCAGAGGUGAUUGUUGUUGCUACAAACAAAUUAAAAGAAUUAGCUCCAUCAAAUGGUGCGUUGAAAACUUGCGAUUCACACGGUAAUAGUAACAAUAACAACAACAGUGCCAAUAAUAACAAUAAUAAAAAAAAGAAACAAAAAAAGAAAGAUCAGGAACAAAGAAUAAAGUGUGAAGAGAAAAAUCCUUAUCCAGGAUUGGACAUUGAUCCUAUACCCAUGGCUUCACAAAAUGAUCUCGUCCGCCAAAUGUCAGUGCUGACAAUAAAUCCUUAUGCCGGAAGUAAAGAAGUUACAGAAAUAAAACUUGAUGCCAGUAAAAAGAAGAAAAAGAAGUCAAAGAAGGGAAACGAACCAAUUAAUAAUCCAGAUGACUGGAAAAUGUUAGGUCAGCCUCAAGUAAAAGUUAUAUGUCUUGGAAGCAAAAGUUGUUUUCAGACAAGUGUUGGUGAUCCUAUUUUGAAAACCCUCAUAUCCUCUUGAAGAGGAUAUUGCUACAGGAUCGGCCAGCAACACAUUUUGCAUGUUUCUGAUGAAAUCUUUGUUUGGUGGUAUGCUUUUAACAAUCAAAAUACAAGAUAGAAGCAAAACUGAUCAUGAUAGUGUUUUUGCACCUAAAGAUAUAGAUCUUAAUGACGGUGAGAUUGAUGAUGCCGAAAGGGAGCUAGAAGCCUUUAAAAGAUUUUG